This 1515-nucleotide ribosomal RNA is filed under the name uncultured prokaryote. Its description in RNAcentral is "partial 16S ribosomal RNA". It matches the Rfam family "Bacterial small subunit ribosomal RNA". The record is from RNAcentral.
AGAGUUUGAUCCUGGCUCAGAGUGAACGCUGGCGGCGUGGCUUAGGCAUGCAAGUCGAACGCGAAAGGCUUCGGCCGAGUAGAGUGGCGAAAGGGUGAGUAAUGCAUAGACAACCUACCUCCUGGACCGGAACAACCACUGGAAACGGUGGCUAAAGCCGGAUUGUCUGCCGCGGCGGCAUCGCCGCGUCAGUAAAUGGUUGCUCUCGGGCUUCUGUCGAGGGAGGGGCCUAUAUCCUAUUAGCUUGUUGGUGGGGUAACGGCCUACCAAGGCUUUGAUGGGUAGCCGGACUGAGAGGUUGGCCGGUCACACUGGGACUGAGACACUGCCCAGACUCCUACGGGAGGCUGCAGUCGAGAAUCUUCCGCAAUGGACGCAAGUCUGACGGGGCGACGCCGCGUGUGGGAUGAAGGCCUUCGGGUUGUAAAGUUCUGUCAAGAGGGAAGAAAUUCCAGGGGUUAAUAGCCUUCUGGGUUGACCACCGUGUGAGGAAGCACAGGCUAACUCCGUGCCAGCAGCCGCGGUAAUACGGAGUGUGCAAGCGUUACUCGGAAUCACUGGGCAUAAAGAGCACGUAGGCGGGUAGGCAAGUCGGUUGUGAAAUCCCUCGGCUCAACCGGGGAACUGCAACCGAAACUGCUUGUCUUGAGGGCGAGAGGGGUGAGCGGAACUUCUGGUGGAGCGGUGAAAUGCGUAGAUAUCAGAAGGAACGCCGGUGGUGAAAACGGCUCACUGGCUCGUUUCUGACGCUGAGGUGCGAAAGCUAGGGUAGCGAACGGGAUUAGAUACCCCGGUAGUCCUAGCCGUAAACGAUGAGCACUAGGUAGGGGAGGUUCUGACGCCUUCCCUGCUGUAGCUAAUGUGUUAAGUGCUCCGCCUGGGGAGUAUGGUCGCAAGGCUAAAACUCAAAGGAAUUGACGGGGGCUCACACAAGCGGUGGAGCAUGUGGUUUAAUUCGAAGCAACGCGCAGAACCUUACCUAGGUUUGACAUGGCAGGAUUAGUCUUGUGAAAGCAAGAUGACGCGGGUAACCGUGGAACUGUCACAGGUGCUGCAUGGCUGUCGUCAGCUCGUGUCGUGAGAUGUCGGGUUAAGUCCCUUAACGAGCGAAACCCUUACCGUUAUUUGCCAGCGGGUUAUGCCGGGCACCAUAGCGGGACCGCCGUGGUUAACACGGAGGAAGGCGGGGAUGACGUCAAGUCCUCAUGGCCCUUACACCUAGGGCUACACACGUGCUACAAUGGCCGAGACAGAGGGUUGCCAAACGGUAACGUGGAGCUAAUCCCUUAAACUCGGUCCCAGUACGGAUUGAAGGCUGCAAUUCGCCUUCAUGAAGUUGGAAUCGCUAGUAAUCGCGAAUCAGCAAUGUCGCGGUGAAUAUGUUCCUGAGCCUUGUACACACCGCCCGUCAAGCCACGGGAGUUGGUAGUGCCCGAAGUCGCUGACUCAACCCGCAAGGGAGAGAGGUGCCUACGGUAAGGCCGGUGACUGGGACUAAGUCGUAACAAGGUAACC